CCUACGGGAGGCAGCAGUAGGGAAUAUUGCUCAAUGGGGGAAACCCUGAAGCAGCAACGCCGCGUGGAGGAUGAAGGUUUUCGGAUUGUAAAGUCCUUUUGUCAGAGAAGAUAAUGACGGUAUCUAACGAAUAAGCACCGGCUAACUCCGUGCCAGCAGCCGCGGUAAUACGGAGGGUGCAAGCGUUACUCGGAAUCACUGGGCGUAAAGAGCGCGUAGGCGGGAUAGCAAGUCAGAUGUGAAAUCCUAGGGCUUAACCAUUGAACUGCAUUUGAAACUGUUAUUCUGGAGUAUGGGAGAGGUAGGUGGAAUUCUUGGUGUAGGGGUAAAAUCCGUAGAGAUCAGGAGGAAUACUAGUGGCGAAGGCGACCUGCUGGAACAUAACUGACGCUGAUGCGCGAAAGCGUGGGGAGCAAACAGGAUUAGAUACCCGUGUAGUC
Molecule: ribosomal RNA, 440 nt
Filed under: uncultured bacterium
Lineage: Bacteria
Description: partial 16S ribosomal RNA
Rfam family: Bacterial small subunit ribosomal RNA
Source: RNAcentral